UACGUAGGGGGCAAGCGUUGUCCGGAAUCAUUGGGCGUAAAGCGCGUGUAGGCGGCCCGGUAAGUCCGCUGUGAAAGUCGGGGGCUCAACCCUCGAAUGCCGGUGGAUACUGUCGGGCUAGAGUGCGGAAGAGGCGAGUGGAAUUCCUGGUGUAGCGGUGAAAUGCGCAGAUAUCAGGAGGAACACCGGUGGCGAAGGCGGGUCUCUGGGCCGUAACUGACGCUGAGGAGCGAAAGCAUGGGGAGCGAACAGG
This 253-nucleotide ribosomal RNA is filed under the name uncultured bacterium. Its description in RNAcentral is "partial 16S ribosomal RNA". It matches the Rfam family "Bacterial small subunit ribosomal RNA", at positions 524 to 776 of the family's 1533-position model. The record is from RNAcentral.